RNAcentral lists this ribosomal RNA (1082 nucleotides) under Arthrobacter davidanieli. RNAcentral's name for it is "bacterial SSU rRNA". It matches the Rfam family "Bacterial small subunit ribosomal RNA", at positions 416 to 1482 of the family's 1533-position model. The record is from RNAcentral. Lineage: Bacteria; Bacillati; Actinomycetota; Actinomycetes; Micrococcales; Micrococcaceae.
CGUUGGGGGACCAAGGGCCUUCCUUUUUUUUGUUGGUGUUGGAAGGGUAAUUUGCAGGAAGAAAGCACCCGGCUUAAAUUACGUGCCCAGCAGGCCGCGGGUAAUUACGUAGGGGUGCCAAGCGUUAUCCGGGAAUUUAUUUGGGCGUAAAAGAGCUCGGUAGGCGGGUUUGUCGGCGUCUGUCGUGAAAAGUCCGGGGGCUCAAAUCCCGGAUUUUGCGGUGGGUACGGGCAGACUAGAGUGAUGUAGGGGAGACUGGAAUUCCUGGUGUAGCGGUGGAAUGCGCAGAUAUCAGGAGGAACACCGAUGGCGAAGGCAGGUCUCUGGGCAUUAACUGACGCUGAGGAGCGAAAGCAUGGGGAGCGAACAGGAUUAGAUACCCUGGUAGUCCAUGCCGUAAACGUUGGGCACUAGGUGUGGGGGACAUUCCACGUUUUCCGCGCCGUAGCUAACGCAUUAAGUGCCCCGCCUGGGGAGUACGGCCGCAAGGCUAAAACUCAAAGAAAUUGACGGGGGCCCGCACAAGCGGCGGAGCAUGCGGAUUAAUUCGAUGCAACGCGAAGAACCUUACCAAGGCUUGACAUGAACCGGAAAGGCGUAGAAAUACGUCCCCCACUUGUGGUCGGUUUACAGGUGGUGCAUGGUUGUCGUCAGCUCGUGUCGUGAGAUGUUGGGUUAAGUCCCGCAACGAGCGCAACCCUCGUUCUAUGUUGCCAGCACGUGAUGGUGGGGACUCAUAGGAGACUGCCGGGGUCAACUCGGAGGAAGGUGGGGAUGACGUCAAAUCAUCAUGCCCCUUAUGUCUUGGGCUUCACGCAUGCUACAAUGGCCGGUACAAAGGGUUGCGAUACUGUGAGGUGGAGCUAAUCCCAAAAAGCCGGUCUCAGUUCGGAUUGGGGUCUGCAACUCGACCCCAUGAAGUCGGAGUCGCUAGUAAUCGCAGAUCAGCAACGCUGCGGUGAAUACGUUCCCGGGCCUUGUACACACCGCCCGUCAAGUCACGAAAGCUGGUAACACCUGAAGCCGGGGCUCUACUCCCUAUGUUGAACUAUCAGUCUAUAGAGCUAGCAGCUUACCUCUCU